AUUGAACGCUGGCGGCAGGCCUAACACAUGCAAGUCGAACGAGUGGCGGACGGGUGAGUACUGUCUGGGAAACUGCCCGAUGGAGGGGGAUAACUACUGGAAACGGUAGCUAAUACCGCAUACCAUCGGAUGUGCCCAGCUGGGAUUAGCUUGUAGGUGAGGUAACGGCUCACCUAGGCGACGAUCCCUAGCUGGUCUGAGAGGAUGACCAGCGACACUGGAACUGAGACACGAUCCAGACUCCUACGGGAGGCAGCAGUGGGGAAUAUUGCACAAUGGGCGCAAGCCUGAUGCAGCCAUGCCGCGUGUAUGAAGAAGGCCUUCGGGUUGUAAAGUACUUUCAGCGGGGAGGCGUUACCCGCAGAAGAAGCACCGGCUAACUCCGUGCCAGCAGCCGCGGUAAUAC
This 406-nucleotide ribosomal RNA is filed under the name uncultured bacterium. RNAcentral's name for it is "partial 16S ribosomal RNA". It matches the Rfam family "Bacterial small subunit ribosomal RNA", at positions 30 to 526 of the family's 1533-position model. The record is from RNAcentral.